This is a non-coding RNA of Callithrix jacchus (white-tufted-ear marmoset), 8524 nucleotides long. The record is from RefSeq and is a predicted model, not a curated record. NCBI's taxonomy places the organism in Eukaryota, Metazoa, Chordata, Mammalia, Primates, Cebidae.
UGGAAGAAAAGCAGUGACUUAGAUGGUGCCUGAAGCCUCUGAAGGACCUCCUGGAUGUGCUGUGACCUUCCUUACCCUGAUGAAUACCAGAGGAACCCGGCAGACAGCCUAGGCAGGAUGUGGGGUUCUCUGAGCUCAGCCAUCCAGUGGCAGAACUUUGAGCUGGAAUGGGAGCAGCUGGGGCUGAGAACAAGUUCCUGGGGGGCACAAACACUCAAAGUGUGGCCUGUGGAGCAACAGCUUCAGCCACAGCUGGGAGCUGGUUAGAAGUGGAACAUCUCAGGCCCCACCCCAGAACCUCAGAGUCAGCACCUCUGGAGACAUUCAGCUACACCCGGAAGUUGAAAGGGGAAGGCUCAGGACCCCGGGAUUCUUCAGCUUGCCAUGAGCACUGCUGUGUGGCAGAGGAGAUAGCCGCCGUCCCCUUUAUCCUCCAAGUGUACCCAUGGUCUUCAGAUAAGAAAAUUGAGGCUUGAAGAGACCAAGGCUGCAGAGCCUAAAAACAAAGAUUGGAACCAAAGCCAGUUUGUUUUCAUCCCAGGGGCUGCGCCCUUCUUCUGUUCCAUGUUUCAUUGUUCUUGGUGGACCUGGGGGUCAAUAGCUAGAAGUUAAAAAACAGGCUGAUUUGGAAAGUGCUUCCAGUGCUGUCUUGAGUGAUGUCUAGAGAUUAGCAGACCGGCUGUGAAGUGGUGAGCUGCCCAUCACUGGAACUGUGCAAGCAGAGACUGGUCAUGGUGCUGAUGCUGUUGGUCCUGUAUGAGUGUGAUGUGGGGAGGGACUGAGGCCAGAUGACCUUUGAGGGCCUUCUGCUCUCAGAGGUGGGCCUGCUUGGGCCUGCUCCCGGGUCAGUGCCCAAUGGAUGGAGCCUCUGCAGCCAGCUGCUUAUUAUCUGUGGAUCCUCUGUGGGUAACCUGCCAGCUCCCAAACAGGAAACAUGUCCAGAAAGCUGUAAUUAGAGCUGGGCGCCACAGGCCUGAGAGGUGCCUGCUGUAACUUCAAGUGCAGACACGCCACCCUGGUUAAGUCCCCGGGAGAGAACCCAGUGAGUCAGGCCUCAGAUCCUCUACCUGCAUGUGGCACCCCCAUUCCCCUUGGAAGGAAACCUGCAUUGGCCAGGAACUUACUGGGUGACUGGCUUUCAUAUAUUUCUCUCCUCUCUACCUCUCCAGAACUCUGGGAGAGAGGAAACGUCUGCCAUGAUGCAGGCGAGGAACCCAAAGCUAGCAGACGUCACCUGGUUCACUCAAUGUCACCCUACUAUGGCCCUUGCCUUUCUGAGUGCCGGAUUUGACUUCUUGAUCCCUCUGGGGGAGAAUGUCACAGGCAAGGGAGGGUUGCAAGAGGCCAGUGGCACACAGAGAGGAGGACUGUGUGAGCCUGAGUGGCUCCUGGGUCUUCCCCAGCUGACCAUAACUCCCUUCAACCUUUUUACAUCUUCUCUGAAGGGAUGGGUCCCUGCAGUGUUCCUCUGCCCGGCUGCUUGGCAACCUAUGGCAGUUGUGGUGGUGUUAAAACAUGGCCCUGCUGGGCACAGUGGCUCAUGCCUGUGAUCCCAGCACUUUGGGAGGCGGAGGCUGGUGGAUCACCUGAGGUCAGGAGUUUGAGACCAGCCUGACCAACAUGGAGAAACCCUGUCUCUACUAAAAAUACAAAAUUAGCCAGGCAUGGUUGCUUAUGCCCAUAAUCCCAGCUACUUGGGAGGCUGAGGCAGGAGAAUUGCUUGAAAUUGGGAGGCAGAAAUUUUGGUGAGCUGACAUCGUGCCAUUGCACUCAAGCACUUCAGUCUGGGCAAUAAGAGUGAAAUUUCAUCUAAAACAAACAAACAAACAAACAAACAAAACAUAGCCACACAUUUUUUGACACUUCUUCCAUGGAGAGAUGGGGGUCUAUGUCCCUUCUCCUUGAACCUGGGCAGAUUUGUGACUUCUUUACCCCAUAGAGUAUGGCAGAAGAGACCCUAAGUGAGUACAGACCAUGCCCACACAAGUUCUGCUUUGUUUGCUGGAACAGUCACUCUUGGAGCCCUGAGCCACCAUGUAAAGAAGUGGGAAAAUUCAGUGUCCUGAAGCUGCCAUGUUGUGAGGAAGCCCAAGUCACGCAGAAGGGCCAUAUCUAGGUGCUCUGGUCCACAGUCCCAGCUGAGCUUACCCAUCUAACCUCCCCAGUGGUUUUAGUUUUUCCUGAAAUCCCAGGAAUCAUGGAGCAGAGACAAAUCUCUCCUGCUGUGCUCUGUCUGAACCUCUGACUCACAGAAUGUGGGCACAUAAUAAAAUUAUUUUGUGUCACUAAGUAUAUAGGUGAUCAGUUAUGUAGCCAUAGAUAAUCAGGACAGCUCUGCUAGCUAUGAAGUGCCAUGCAGUCAUCUUGUGUGGUCCCACCCUGAACAUCUUCUCCCCAUACUCCUGGGAAGCUGGCCGGGUUCACACUUGCUGUGGAAAGCAUUGCUCAAAGGGAAGGGCAUGAGACUGUGGGGCCCUGCAUCUCCUGGGGCUUAGAGUACUAAGCUUUCUCCAACCACUACCUUCUCAGAGAUGAUCAUCCCAAAUUGGGUCUGCCUCAGACCCUCUUGUGUAUAACUAAGAAUGUUGCCUGGGUGUGGUGGCUCAUGCCUGUAGUCCCAGCACUUUGGGGGCUAAGGCAGGAGGAUCCUUGAGCCCAGGAGUUCAAGACCAGCCCAAGCAACACAUCAAGACCCUGUCUCUACAAAAAAUAGGAAAAAAUUAGUGCUGGGCACGAUGGUUCACAAUUGUAAUCUUAGCACUUUGGGAGGCUGAGGUGGGUGGAUGACCUGAGGUCAAGAGUUCAAGACCAGCCUGACCAACGUGGUGAGGGGUGGCUUGCCCAUAGGACUGCCUGCUAUUCCUCUCCAAGCUGAGCCUGCCCUGGCUGUGAACAACCCAAGAGGGUCUCAUAUCCCUGAGUCUGAGUGGCAGGGCCAAGCCCUGAGAAGAGAGGAGGACCACUACCUUCUCUUCCGGGAGUGGUGCUGGGGCAUUUGCGUCCAGCUUGCCUACACUCUCAAUUUUGCCUGACAGUGUGGCCAGGUGAUGGGCCUGCCCAGCGAGGUCUGUUCCCUGGGCUCCUGCCCCGCUGUGAUCCCAGUGGCAGCUCUGGGUGGCAAUGGGCUCGUCAGUGUCCUGACUUCUGGUGGUCCAGCUCCUGCUGCUUCUCCUUCUGCUGGGUCUUUCCUGGCCAACUUCACUGGCCCUUCAGGCUGAUCUGAGACCUGACUUCCUCUGGGCAGCCUUCCCUGGUAUGCGACAUCAGGCCCACCCUCAAUCUUCACAGAGUGUGGAGAAGAUCCUGGUUGCCUUGUAGUCUGGAGCUGCCUGUUUACUUACAGCUUCCUCCUCUAAGACCUUAGGCUCCAGGAGGGCAGGGUUCAUGUCUGCCUUGCUUGCCUCCACUUCUCCAAAGCCCCACAUAAUGCCGGUGCUCAGCAAACACAGGUUGACCAAAUGAACUUUUGAUAAAGAAACAAAUGACUAGAGCAAUAAUGCUCCUUACUGAAAGCAUUCCAGCCUCAGCUGACUGUGCCUUAAGCCAGGCCAGGAGGAGAUGACUUGAAUAGCGUGUUAUUUUGGUUCUUCUGGGACUGCUUUGACUGAAAUGUCUGUUGGUAUGGUAUUCAUAUUACUACCCCAAAACAACAUCUCCAUGACACUUGUCUUUGUGUCUCUUCUGAGCAUUUUAUAAUGAGGACUGGCUGGGAAAAUGUUGUAAAGCAGACAGCGAGAAACAGCUAUGACUUCCCCAAGCAUCAGGCUUUAUGAGUUAAUUGACUAAUUUUAUAUCAUGGACAUUGCGUGAUUGACCAGAUUUCCUCUUUUGCACUUGCUGCCAGGGAAUUCAGGUCUAAGAUUUUGACUCUUUGAAACAACAUUUAGAACUUUAUGGUAUUCGUUUUUGAUUUGUCCAGAUCUCUGACCCUUCCUCUCUAUUUUGCUUCUUAAACUCCUAUCCAUUUCUCAUUUAGGUUUUACUGUGGUACUUUACAUAUCCUUAUAAAUCUCCUAUUUAUAGAUUUACAUAUGCUUUAAGUCACUUUUGGGUGGAACAAGGCAAGUCAUCAGAAUACAUGCAAAGUUCUUCAGAGCACACUAUUCCUGGGCUGACCCAGGAUUCAGCCUACAAGCUGAAGAGAGCUGGUACUGGGUCUGCUUUGGGCCAAGGGGUCUUCCCCUGAGUUGUGGCCACACAGACCCCCGGCAGCCUGGUCCACAUGCUGGAGGCUGUGUGCUGCCAGGCCGUGCGCUGGGUUGCUAUCCCCUGACUUGAAUGGGUCUGGUUCCCAGGCUUCCUCCCGAGCUGCUGGCCUCACCACCCUGCUGCUGGCAUCCUAUCCAGCCUCGCCUCUGUGCUUCCUGACCUCCUGCCUUCUCUCCCUUCUGUGUGGAUGCUCAAUGCUGCCCCUGAGAAACUGGCUUAGCUCCCUUCUCAGCUAAGACUUGACCUUGUCCCUUGUAUGUGGGCUGAUUCCAGUUGCUAUGGGCAACCACACUUGGCCAUCCAGGCUGGCCUACUGGUCUUUUGCUGGCUCAGGCCAGGGUAGCUGACCUCCAGGCCUUGAGGACGAGUUUGAGACAGCCUGAGUGAGGAAAUGGAGCCAAGAGCUAAUACUAAAGCAGAUAUGAUGCACGGCUUCAUCAUUUUCUCUCUGAAGAUAGACAUUUCCCCAAGAGCCAGGGACAGUGAGUAAUAGGAGUCCCAUUUGACAAAUGGUGAACCAAGGUUUGGAGAGAUGUGUUCUGCCGAAGGUGACACAAGAAGUCAAAGGACAAGAGGGCAUUUGCCUUCCAAUCUGGUGCUGGGCCCCUUCAAUCAUGUAGCUUUCCAUCCCAGAGGUGGGGGCUCAGCUCUCCAGCAGAGAUUGGGUGUGGAAGUUCCCAGUCACUUUCUCACAAGGUAAGCCCUCUGAGGGCCACAGUCUUUUGGGAAGCCCAAGCCCAGCCGGAAUCACCAGUUGCCUAGAAGGCAUGUGGAUUUCCUCUCUUUCCUCUGCAAAGCAUGGUUUGAGAAGGAGAUUCAGCCCACAUGCUCUGAUUAUCUGCCUCUUACAUGUAGAAAUUGGAAAAAGAAAAGUCAGAAAAGGUCACCAUGGGGUGGGGACAGUAAGGCCUGGGGAGCCUUUGACAGGCUUCUUUUUGGCCUGCCGGGAUUCAGAUCUGGGCUUUCUGAUCCAGUGAGGCUGCCACGCAUUUUUUCCUAGAGCUGUGUCCUCCUUCCUUCCCACAGGGCCACGAUGUUCAGAGCCAGUGCCUUUGGAGGUGGUGGAAGCAGGAGACUUGUAAGACUCUCUCCCCCAGCCUGGGCAUCAAGACAGGUAGUGUCAAUCCUCUUCUCUUUGAGUGACCUCACACAUGUCCCUUGACUCUGGGAACCUGCGUCUUGUCAUCUGUUAAGUGGGACCCCGAGUCCCUGCCUGCCUCUCUCUUACUGCUGUUGUGAUAACCAAAGCCUUUGUGUUCUGAAAUGUUUUCCAUCUCUCAUCUGAAAUGCUGUGCAGAAACAAUUUCCUAGGGGAACUCUGUGUAGCUCCUCGCCGCCGACUCUCGACUCUCCUUGUGGAAAGCAACAAAACCCCUCCAAAAAACAAAAGACAUCAGUGCAUCAGAAUUCAUGGAGCGGGUGGUGCUGUUUGAAUUGGAAAUCACUGAGGUGGUUUGUUUCUAUUCGGUAUCAGAGCUUCAGUCAUGCAGUGAGAAUUGGUUAAGGUUUCGUGCAGUUCCACAAAUAUUUAUUGAGUGCCUGCUCCUUGUUCAGCCUCCUGCUCAGUGCUGGAGCUGGAGAGGGGAGAAACUAUAAUGUGUGUGCCCGAGGGCACUGAGCUCGGAGGCAGCCAGACCUGGCUCUGAGUCCCAGCUCUGGUCCUCACCACCCGGUGACCCUGGGCAAGUCACCUCCCUCCCUGAGCUUCAGUUGUGCCAUGUGUGAUGUGAGGCUAAUGAUGGCAUUUUCCUUACAUGGUUGCUGUGAGAAUUAAAUAAGAAAAUGCAAAGCCAUUAACAGUGACGGAAAUAUUAAAUGUGGUUUUUGUUUUAGGAGCAAGUAGAAGACACCAGCCCUGUCCGUGGCAGUCAUGGUUCAGUAACUGAUUAGUUAUGAUACUAGGAGCUUCAGGCUGGCGGGAAGCAUGUAUAAGAUGCUGAAAGAGCAUAGGGAGGCCAGGAGGCUUCUUGGAGCUGGUGAUGACUCCUCAGCACGUAGUGAUGGGACCUGCCCAGGACUACCAAAGGAAGGCAUACAUGAAAUUUAGUUUGAGAAGCCCUUCUAGAUUUCUGGGGAGACAAAUCUUGUAUACGUGAUCUCUGUUAUUCAAAUGCUGCCCUCAAAUUCUCCUGAUGUCAUUUUCAGGAAAGUUACAACCACAUCUGCAUCUUUGGACAGAGUUUGGGGAAGAACAGGAAUGUAGUGGCUGUGGGUCAGUUCUUUGAAGGCUGCAUGAUGGAGGUGGCAUUGGAUGCUUGGUGGGGAGGGAAUUCCAGGCAGGAGGAAGGCAAGGGGAGGGCGUGUUUUUGGUGUACAUGCAGAGGGCAGAGUCAGAAGGUCAGUUCUUCUAGCUAUCCAGUCCCCCAAUCUCUGAACUCUGUAACCCCUGCCAGGCCAGAGGGUAUGGAGCCUCUGCUGGCUGAGGAGCUUGGAUUGGGGUGCCUCGGGGCCUGGCAAGCAGCACGGGCUCAGAAGUCAGGAGUGAGUAGGUAGGAGGGGCUCACUGUUCUCCAGUAACACGGACAGGGCUGAGUCGGGUGAGGGAUGGGAGAGACAGGUGGGAGAUGCAAAAGGCAGCUGGGGCAAUAGUGCAGGUGAGUGGGACUAAGAAUGGGUCUUUAGAUCCCGCCAGGAUGGAUGGAGCACCUGUCUGUCCAUCUGGGUCCUAAAACCCUCACUUCCUAGGUUCCCUAUGUGUGGUAGAUUUUCUCCAUUUCCCUCUCAUACUCAUUCUCUACCUUUCUCUACCCCGUUGUGUGCUCAGGGAUGGUGAUCCGUAUGGAUGGAAGCAAACAAUUCACUUGUUCACUGGGUUCUGGCUGAGUUCAGUCAGUGAAAUUCUUUGCAGUUACUAUGUCUGCAUAACUAACUAUAUCAUAGCCUAAAACAACCACCCAGACAUUGUGGCCCAGAACAACCACCAUUUUAUUAUGCUAUGGAUUCUGAGGGUCAGGAAUUCAGAAUGGGCAUAGCAGGGAUGGCUUGUCUUCAUUUCACAGUGUCUGGAACCUCAGUCUGGAAGACUGAGGCUGGGGGAUGGGAUCAUCUGAAAGCUCUCUCAGUCAUAUAUGUGACAAUUGAUGCUGAUUAUCAGUUGGAACCUCAGCUGUGGCACUCUCCUGGAUCAUCUGUAUGCGACCUCUCCUGGUGGCUGCUUGGGCUUCCUCACAGCAUGGUGGCCACCUUCCAAGAAUGAGUAUCCCAAAGAGAACUAGGCAGAAGCUGCAUCACAUUUUAACCCAAGCUCAGAAGUUGCACAGGGUCACUUCUCCUGUCAUCACAACAAUGCCCAGAUUCAAGAAGUGUUAAAGUCCCAUUGGAAUAAGAGUGUGUGGGAUGAGAGAUAUUGAAGUCGUCAUUUGGAAAAUGUGAUCAGUCAUAGGAUGAAUAGUUUGGAAAUCAGAUUCAUUCAUUUACUUACUCACUGGUUCAAUCAACAAACUGCAAUAGUUUGGAAAUCAGAUUCAUUCAUUUACUUACUCACUGGUUCAAUCAACAAACUGCAUGAGUUAGGAAUGACUGUGAUUCUCUACCAAAUUCCACAGCCCCUUCUGGUUUGUUGUCUCCUUCAUGGCAGCACUGGUCCCACAGGGCUUUUAGAAACUGUUCCUUCCUUUUCUGUUUUUAGCCCCAGGGUGGUUGGGGCUCCCAUUGUUGUGAACUGUGGGGUGCUUCACCACUCCUUUCUGGAGUCUUUAAUCCUGCUUCUACCUUUUAAAAAGUCCCUUCAUUAGUUAUGUCUCUGGAGUGACUUUUCCCCUCCAGUACUGUCAGGAUACACCAUAUGACAAAGAAGGAACCUGGGCUCAGAGUGCCUGAGGUCCCACAGUAAGUGCCGGAGGAGGCCGAAUUUAAACGCUGCUGCACUGACUCUGUGGCCUGUGUCCUUUUCCAGGGAUCUGCUAGUGAUGGGUAAGCAGGAAGAAGUCCUUGGCACAGCUGUGCCCUGCCAAGUCCUGGAUCUGGUUUUUCUGGAGCCCUCCAGCACGCUCUCUUUGCCUGCUGGACUCAAUUGCUAACCAGGCAUGACCUCGUGUGUGGUAUUCGCAGACUGGAGGACUCCCUGGGGCCAACCAGGCCCCUAGCCCUUCUUGGGUCCACUAGCCCAGGGAUGAAUGGUAGCAUGGGGUGAGUGACAUGCUUUCCCACAUGUUCACAUGUACCUGGGUCACUAGGUUUAAGAACACCGUUGUUUCAGAGCUGGGAACUUACGCUGGAGAGGUGAAAGAGCAAGCCAUGGCCACAGAGCACAGGAAAUGGGAAUUUCCAGCCUCACAUCCACUCUGCAUGUUACCAUGCAGACUCUUAGAGAUUU